This 455-nucleotide ribosomal RNA is filed under the name uncultured bacterium. RNAcentral describes it as "bacterial SSU rRNA". It matches the Rfam family "Bacterial small subunit ribosomal RNA", at positions 340 to 787 of the family's 1533-position model. The record is from RNAcentral.
UACGGAAGGCAGCAGUGGGGAAUAUUGCACAAUGGGCGAAAGCCUGAUGCAGCUAUGCCGCGUGUAUGAAGAAGGCCUUAGGGUUGUAAAGUACUUUCAUCGGGGAGGAAAAACAAAACUAAUAAUUUUAUUUCUUGACGUUACCCGAAAAAGAAGCACCGGCUAACUCCGUGCCAGCAGCCGCGGUAAUACGGAGGGUGCUAGCGUUAAUCAGAAUUACUGGGCGUAAAGAGCACGUAGGUGGUUUUUUUAAGUCAGAUGUGAAAUCCCUGGGCUUAACCUAGGAACUGCAUUUUGAAACUGAAAUACUAGAGUAUCGUAGAGGGAGGUAGAAUUCUAGGUGUAGCGGUGAAAUGCGUAGAUAUCUGGAGGAAUGCCUGUGGCGAAAGCGGCCUCCUAAACGAAUACUGACACUGAGGUGCGAAAGCGUGGGGAGCAAACAGGAUUAGACUACC